ACACUCCUGCGGGAGGCAGCAGUGGGGAAUUUUGGACAAUGGGCGAAAGCCUGAUCCAGCAAUGCCGCGUGAGUGAAGAAGGCCUUCGGGUUGUAAAGCUCUUUUGUCAGGGAAGAAACGGUGAGAGCUAAUAUCUCUUGCUAAUGACGGUACCUGAAGAAUAAGCACCGGCUAACUACGUGCCAGCAGCCGCGGUAAUACGUAGGGUGCAAGCGUUAAUCGGAAUUACUGGGCGUAAAGCGUGCGCAGGCGGUUUUGUAAGUCUGAUGUGGAAUCCCCGGGCUCAACCUGGGAAUUGCAUUGGAGACUGCAAGGCUAGAAUCUGGCAGAGGGGGGUAGAAUUCCACGUGUAGCAGUGAAAUGCGUAGAUAUGUGGAGGAACACCGAUGGCGAAGGCAGCCCCCUGGGUCAAGAUUGACGCUCAUGCACGAAAGCGUGGGGAGCAAACAGGAUUAGAAACCCCAGUAGUCCCAUGAU
This 477-nucleotide ribosomal RNA is filed under the name uncultured organism. RNAcentral's name for it is "partial 16S ribosomal RNA". It matches the Rfam family "Bacterial small subunit ribosomal RNA", at positions 333 to 801 of the family's 1533-position model. The record is from RNAcentral.